AUUGAACGCUGGCGGCAUGCCUUACACAUGCAAGUCGAACGGCAGCACGGGUGCUUGCACCUGGUGGCGAGUGGCGAAACGGGUGAGUAAUAUAUCGGAACGUACCUUAUUGUGGGGGAUAACGCAGCGAAAGCUGUGCUAAUACCGCAUAAUCCCUCAGGGGGAAAGCGGGGGACCGUAAGGCCUCGCGCAAUUAGAGCGGCCGAUACCUGAUUAGCUAGUUGGUGAGGUAAAGGCUCACCAAGGCAACGAUCAGUAGCUGGUCUGAGAGGACGAUCAGCCACACUGGGACUGAGACACGGCCCAGACUCCUACGGGAGGCAGCAGUGGGGAAUUUUGGACAAUGGGGGCAACCCUGAUCCAGCAAUGCCGCGUGAGUGAAGAAGGCCUUCGGGUUGUAAAGCUCUUUUGUCAGGGAAGAAACAGCAGCUCUAACACAGUUUGCGAAUGACGGUACCUGAAGAAUAAGCACCGGCUAACUACGUGCCAGCCGCCGCUGUAA
This 502-nucleotide ribosomal RNA is filed under the name uncultured bacterium. RNAcentral describes it as "partial 16S ribosomal RNA". It matches the Rfam family "Bacterial small subunit ribosomal RNA", at positions 30 to 523 of the family's 1533-position model. The record is from RNAcentral.